RNAcentral lists this ribosomal RNA (526 nucleotides) under uncultured Sphingobacterium sp. Its description in RNAcentral is "bacterial SSU rRNA". It matches the Rfam family "Bacterial small subunit ribosomal RNA", at positions 9 to 524 of the family's 1533-position model. Lineage: Bacteria; Pseudomonadati; Bacteroidota; Sphingobacteriia; Sphingobacteriales; Sphingobacteriaceae. The record is from RNAcentral.
GAGUUUGAUCGUGGCUCAGGAUGAACGCUAGCGGCAGGCUUAAUACAUGCAAGUCGAGGGGCAGCAUGACUGUAGCAAUACAGUUGAUGGCGACCGGCAAACGGGUGCGGAACACGUACACAACCUUCCUUUAAGCGGGGAACAGCCCGGGGAAACCCGGAUUAAUACCCCAUAGUAUAUUGAAGAGGCAUCUUUUAAUAUUAAAGAUUUAUCACUUGAAGAUGGGUGUGCGGCUGAUUAGGUAGUUGGCGGGGUAAUGGCCCACCAAGCCUGCGAUCAGUAACUGGUGUGAGAGCACGACCAGUCACACGGGCACUGAGACACGGGCCCGACUCCUACGGGAGGCAGCAGUAAGGAAUAUUGGUCAAUGGACGAAAGUCUGAACCAGCCAUGCCGCGUGAAGGAUGAAGGCCCUCUGGGGUUGUAAACUUCUUUUAAUAUGGGACGAAAAAGGACUUUUCUAAGUCAAACUGACGGUACCAUGUGAAUAAGCACCGGCUAACUCCGUGCCAGCCGCCGCCGUAAU